AUACGUAGGUGGCGAGCGUUGUCCGGAAUUACUGGGUGUAAAGGGCGUGUAGGCGGGGGAGCAAGUCAGAUGUGAAAGCCCAAGGCUCAACUUUGGGAUUGCAUCUAAAACUGUUUCUCUUGAGUACUGGAGAGGGAAGCGGAAUUCCUAGUGUAGCGGUGAAAUGCGUAGAGAUUAGGAGGAACACCAGUGGCGAAGGCGGCUUCCUGGACAGAGACUGACGCUGAGGCGCGAAAGCGUGGGGAGCGAACAGGAUUAGAUACCCUGGUAGUCCACGCCGUAAACGAUGGAUACUAGGUGUAGGAGGUAUCGACUCCUUCUGUGCCGGAGUUAACACAAUAAGUAUCCCACCUGGGGAGUACGGCCGCAAGGUUGAA
Molecule: ribosomal RNA, 377 nt
Filed under: uncultured bacterium
Lineage: Bacteria
Description: bacterial SSU rRNA
Rfam family: Bacterial small subunit ribosomal RNA
Source: RNAcentral